Transfer RNA from Verticillium albo-atrum, 104 nucleotides. It matches the Rfam family "tRNA". Rfam says of the family: Transfer RNA (tRNA) molecules are approximately 80 nucleotides in length. Their secondary structure includes four short double-helical elements and three loops (D, anti-codon, and T loops). Further hydrogen bonds mediate the characteristic L-shaped molecular structure. tRNAs have two regions of fundamental functional importance: the anti-codon, which is responsible for specific mRNA codon recognition, and the 3' end, to which the tRNAs corresponding amino acid is attached (by aminoacyl-tRNA synthetases). tRNAs cope with the degeneracy of the genetic code in two manners: having more than one tRNA (with a specific anti-codon) for a particular amino acid; and 'wobble' base-pairing, i.e. permitting non-standard base-pairing at the 3rd anti-codon position. Lineage: Eukaryota; Fungi; Ascomycota; Sordariomycetes; Glomerellales; Plectosphaerellaceae. The record is from Rfam.
GGCCGCAUGGCCCAAUGGCAAGGCGUCUGACUACGAUACAGAAACACGAGAGAUCGUGACCUGUUGGUAUCAGGAGAUUGCAGGUUCGAGCCCUGCUGUGGUCA